RNAcentral lists this transfer RNA (73 nucleotides) under Camelus bactrianus (Bactrian camel). It matches the Rfam family "tRNA". From Rfam's summary of the family: Transfer RNA (tRNA) molecules are approximately 80 nucleotides in length. Their secondary structure includes four short double-helical elements and three loops (D, anti-codon, and T loops). Lineage: Eukaryota; Metazoa; Chordata; Mammalia; Artiodactyla; Camelidae. The record is from Rfam by way of RNAcentral. RNAcentral also lists the same sequence under 2 other names.
GAGGGUAAAGCUCAAGUGGUAGAGCACAUGCUUAAUAUGCACAAGGCCUUGGGUUCAAUCCCCAGUACCUCCU